This is a long non-coding RNA of Syzygium oleosum, 624 nucleotides long. RefSeq lists it as uncharacterized. Lineage: Eukaryota; Viridiplantae; Streptophyta; Magnoliopsida; Myrtales; Myrtaceae. The transcript has 2 exons. The record is from RefSeq and is a predicted model, not a curated record.
CCUGAACAUGACACAAAAGCUCAAUCGUUCAGAAAAGAUAUUGCCAUUUUGCUUGCUUAUACGGUGUAUUCAAGUUUUAGCUGUCAUUUCUAUUGACCAAAGAAUGGACUUUUUUGAAUGGAUUGACAGUUGGGACAUGUGAACAUGGGUGAUGAAGAAGAUGGUUUAAGAUUGGAAAAAUUGGGUAUUAUAGUUUAUACUCACUUUAGUGUCCUAUAAUCUAGUGACAUUUAGUUUACCAUUGUUGCAGGUGUCAAAACAUGUCAUGAGCGCAUUGGCUUCUCUCGUCAACUCAAUUUCUACGAUCUCCAGGUUUUGAUGUUCAAACGGAGAGAACCCUCUCACCACGAUUUGGUUGGAAUUCAAAGGCGAAAAGGAAUGAUAAUAACACUUUGUUUUGGACAUGCCUAGAGAAAUUGUCGUGACUCUCUAGUUGGUGAAUAAUUAAAAGCAGAGGAGGUACUGAAACCACUUAUUAGACACAAGAUUCUCUUGUUCUAACCAUUUCAAGAAAGCAAAGGAAAAUUCCCCUGAAUAGUCCAAACUUACCGAAAAAGACAUUAUCCAAUCUUCUAUGCACAUGCAUGUAUGUACCACCUUAUUUGCAAUAUAGAUAGAUUCGGA